This is a long non-coding RNA of Haliotis rufescens (red abalone), 805 nucleotides long. RefSeq lists it as uncharacterized. The transcript has 3 exons. Lineage: Eukaryota; Metazoa; Mollusca; Gastropoda; Lepetellida; Haliotidae. The record is from RefSeq and is a predicted model, not a curated record.
UGUGUUCAAUCACUCUCGCAGCGGCGCUGAAAGCUACCCUGGAUUUACCCGCCUUAUACACCCGCCUCAUUUACAGCGACGCCACAACAGCACAUGGCAUGGAAGCUGUUAGCUUUCGGACGUACAGAUUAAACUCACAGAGGAAGAUCUUCUUUUCUAAGACCCUAAGUCUAUAAUACACAGAGAAUCCUGUUCACGUAGACUAGGAUACCGCUGUGUUUUCUCAACAUGACAGACCCCGAGGGUGGAGGGUCUGGGACGGUGAUGUCGGUGUUGUUACUGUUGCUGUGCCAACUUACAUACACAUAUGUUGCAGGUGCUGCUCCAGCAUUUGACAAUAUAGCGACUGAUGGCAGUACGCGCGUCAGUAUGGCUGAAAACACCGGAACUGGAACUUCAGUAUUCGGUAUUCUGGCAACUGACCCGGACGGGGACACCAUGAUCUUUGCACUGACUGCAACAUCUGUGCCCUUUACGCUGGUUGGUCAGCAGCUACAAGUGGGCGGGACAUUGGAUUACGAAACCACAACGAAUUACUUACUGACUGUGACGUACGUUUAGAAGUGUUUUACAAGCAAAUAUGUCUUUGCAUAUUAUACAACUAAUAUAGAUGUUCUUUCAAGAUUGUACAGUUGAUACACUCUAGCUGAAAAUACUUGCAGGUGUGCCCAUCAGUGAACAUUAGUUGUCAUCUACCGGAUCAUGCGUUAUUACUCCGUAAAGACGCGAAAUAUUUCAUGGAUAACAAAAUCUAUGUGGUUUGUAACGGCGUUUCGGGACUACUUCCUGUCCCUUCAUCGGGUAA